This 757-nucleotide ribosomal RNA is filed under the name uncultured archaeon. Its description in RNAcentral is "bacterial SSU rRNA". It matches the Rfam family "Archaeal small subunit ribosomal RNA", at positions 102 to 859 of the family's 1478-position model. The record is from RNAcentral.
GGAUAACUACCCUUUAGGACUGGGAUAACCUUGGGAAACUGAGGAUAAUACCGGAUAGGCAAUUAUUCCUGCAAUGGUUUUUUGUUUAAAUGUUUUUUCGCCUAAGGAUGGGUCUGCGGCCGAUUAGGUAGUUGGUUAGGUAAAGGCUUACCAAGCCGUUGAUCGGUACGGGUUGUGAGAGCAAGAGCCCGGAGAUGGAACCUGAGACAAGGUUCCAGGCCCUACGGGGUGCAGCAGGCGCGAAACCUCCGCAAUGUGAGAAAUCGCGACGGGGGGAUCCCAAGUGCCAUUCUUAACGGGAUGGCUUUUCAUUAGUGUAAAGAGCUUUUGGAAUAAGGGCUGGGCAAGACCGGUGCCAGCCGCCGCGGUAACACCGGCAGCUCUAGUGGUAGCAGUUUUUAUUGGGCCUAAAGCGUCCGUAGCCGGUUUAAUAAGUCUCUGGUGAAAUCCUGUAGCUUAACUGUGGGAAUUGCUGGAGAUACUAUUAGACUUGAGACCGGGAGAGGUUAGAGGUACUCCCAGGGUAGAGGUGAAAUUCUGUAAUCCUGGGAGGACCGCCUGUUGCGAAGGCGUCUAACUGGAACGGUUCUGACGGUGAGGGACGAAAGUUAGGGGCGCGAACCGGAUUAGAUACCCGGGUAGUCCUAACCGUAAACGAUGCGGACUUGGUGUUGGGGUGGCUUUGAGCUGCUCCAGUGCCGAAGGGAAGCUGUUAAGUCCGCCGCCUGGGAAGUACGGUCGCAAGACUGAAACUUAA